This 238-nucleotide unclassified non-coding RNA is filed under the name Hevea brasiliensis (rubber tree). The record is from RNAcentral. Lineage: Eukaryota; Viridiplantae; Streptophyta; Magnoliopsida; Malpighiales; Euphorbiaceae.
GAAGCAUCAAGCAGAAGGAAAGAGUACUGAUGAUCAAGAUAAUUUGAUGAACAUUGAAAUAAGUAAGGUGGAGGGAGAAGUAACUGAGAAUGGCAGCAAUGCCAACGAGGCCAAGCCUUGAGCAGUGGUUCUCUCUAACUCUAACAUUUUGCUCUUUUUGCUUCAUUUGGAUGACUGUAGUGUUGUCAAUUAUAGAUACUCUGAUUGUUCAUGAGAGACAUCUGUAUGCAAAACCAUA